Molecule: small nucleolar RNA, 65 nt
Filed under: Cariama cristata (Red-legged seriema)
Lineage: Eukaryota; Metazoa; Chordata; Aves; Cariamiformes; Cariamidae
Description: Small nucleolar RNA U54
Rfam family: Small nucleolar RNA U54
Source: Rfam by way of RNAcentral
UGGCUAUGAGGAUAACUCUUAAAAUGAAUAGCAAUGAUCGCUUCAUACGCUAUUCUGAGCCAACA